RNAcentral lists this long non-coding RNA (5929 nucleotides) under Sus scrofa (pig). Its description in RNAcentral is "lncRNA (ENSSSCG00015015283.1)". Lineage: Eukaryota; Metazoa; Chordata; Mammalia; Artiodactyla; Suidae. The record is from RNAcentral.
GGAACCUGCUUGGCUUCUAUGUUGAAGCAUAGAAAGGAGGCUAGAGUUGCUGUUGAUGAGUUCUUUAGUUUCAACUACUAUACUUAGGUCUUUGAUCAAUUUCGAGUUGAUUUUUCUAUGUGAUGUAAGGUAAGUAUCUUCAUUCUUUUGUAUAUGAAUAUCUAAUAUUCUCAGGACUAUUUUUUUUUUCCUUUGGCCAUACCCAUAGCACAUGGAGGUUCCCGACCCAUGACCACAGCGGCAGCAAUGCUGGAUCCUUAACCCACUACUCCACAAUGGGAACUCCUAUCGGGACUAUUUGUUGAAGAGACUGUCCCAGAGUUCCCAUUGUGGCGAAGUGGAAAUGAAUCUGACUAGGAACCAUGAGGUUAUGGGUUCGAUCCUUGGCCUUGCUCAGUCGAUUAAGGAUCUGGCGUUGCUGUGAGCUGUGGUGUAGGCCAGCCGCUACAGCUCCGAUUAGACCCCUAGCCUGGGAACCUCCAUAUGCUUCAGGUAUGGCCCUAAAAGGACAGAAAAGACCAAAAAAAAAAAAAAAAGUCCCUAAUCCAUUGAAUGGUCUUGACAUCCUUGUCAGAAGUUUUUGACCAUAUAUGUGGAGAAUAAUUUAUUUUGGGGCUCUAUUCUAUUUUGUUGGCCUAUAUGUCUGUCCUUUUCUCUAUUUUUGCAAAAAAAAAAAUUACUGAGAUUUUGAUAGGGAAUUUAUUGAAUUUGUAUGUCAGUUUGGGUGAUAGUUUCAGACAAUAUGAAGUCUUUGAUUCCACGAACAUGGGAUGUUUUUCCACUUAAAUAUUUAAUUUCUUUGAGAAAUAUUUUGUAGUUUUCAGUGUAUAGGUCUUCACUUCCCUAGUUGAAUUUAUUCCUAAAUAUCUUAUUCUUUGUGAUGUUAUUAUGAAUGGAAUUGUUUUUUAAAUUCUUUUUUGGAUUGUUCAUUGUUAGUGUUUAUAUGCAGUUGCUUUUUGUAUAUUGGAUUUGUUUUCUGCAGCUUUGCUGAAUUUCUUUCUCAUUGCGCUUUUAAUUCGUGUUUUCCAGAUGACCAGUGAUGUUCAGCAUCUUUUUUGUGCACCUGUUGGCUAUUUGCCUUUCUUCUCUGGAGAAAUGUUUAUUCAAAGCCUUUACCCAUUUAAAAAUUUGAGUUGUCUUUUGAUUGUUGAAUUGUUAGAGGACUUUAUAUAUUCUCUAUACUAGACCCUUAUCAGAUACUUGAUACACAAAUAUUUUCUCCCAUUCAGUGGGUUGUUUUAAUUUCUUGAUAGUGACCAUUGAUGCACAAAAGUUUAUAAUUUUGAUGAAGUCCAGGUUAUUUGCUUUUGCGGCAGAGGGAGUGUGCUUUUGAUACUUUAUCUAAGAAAAACCAUUGCCUAAUUUAAGAUUUCAUUUGUUCCUGGGCCUUAAUUUAUAAAGGUAGCUGAUAAAUGACACAAAGAGUCUAAUGCUAUCAAAAGAAGAAUUUAUUACUCACCCUUUCCUCAAGAGUUUGGGCAAGUGUGUCAUGCAGGGCCACGUGAGAAAGCAUCAGUUUUGGUCAGGAGGCAGAAAGUUGCCAGGGGCAGUCAGAGAGCCUUUCCUGGGAGUUCCCUAAAAGAGGCAAAGCAGAGCAGGGAAGACAGGUUAGGACUGACUGCUUUGAAUAAUGUCGGUGGGUUCUGGGCUGUAGAAAUGGACCAGUUGUCUGGUCCUUGGCCCGGCUUGGUAGAGGGCAGGGGAGGUAAUUGGCUUGUUGUGUGAGAAUUUGAUUGAAGGAGGUGAUUGGGAGUCUGCACUCGGGAUUGACUGCAGGGUUUGCAGUAGGAUUCUUGCAUACUGACAGAAGCCGGGUUGCGGGGGAGAUCUGCACAAGUUUGGCUGUUAGUUUGACUGGCAAUUAAUGGAUGCCAAUAGGCAAAUACAGAAUGUAAGCAAACAGAAUGAGGUUGCCAUAAUUCACCUGUUUCCUUUUAAGGGUUUUAUGGUUUUAGCUCUUACUCUAGGGCUUUGAUUCAUUUAUCAGUUAAUUCUUACAUGUGGUGUAAGGUAAUGGACAGCUCUUUUUUCAGCACCAUCUGUUGAAAGAACUUUUCUUUCCCUAUUGAAUGGUUGUUUUAUGUUUGAACAAGGUCGCUAGUUGCUCAGACUGUUAGGGAGAGCAGGAGGGAAAGCAGGAAAAUAAGUGAGGAAACCAUUACAUAAUUCAGUCAAGGUGAUGAUUGCUUGGAGAGGGUGGUAGCAGUUUUAGGUGGUAAAAAGUGGUUAGAUUCUGGAUGUAUUUUGAAAGGAGAGCCGAUGAUGUUUUUGCUAGUUAAUUUUGGUAUAUGAGAAAAAGAGAGGAAUUGAGUGCGACGGUAAGGUUUUGAGGCUGAGUUGGUAGAAGAUAUGGUUGCCAUUUAUUGAGCAAGAUAGGAAAUGUGAGUGGAGCAGGGGUUUUUUGUUGUGGUUUUGCUCUUGGGAGGGCAGGACGGGGAUUGUUAGAGGAAUUAGGUCUUUGGGGCUUGCUUGGCGUCCAAGAAGGAGUGUUGACAAGGCAAUUGCAUAUAUGAGUCUGGGGAUCAAGGAUGAGAUAUACAUUUAGGGAUUGACAGCAUAUAGAUUUAUUUGUUUGUUUGUUUGUUUAUUGUCUUUUUACCUUUUCUAGCGCCACACCUGAGGCAUAUGGAGGCUCCCAGGCUAGGGGUCCAAUCGGAGCUGUAGCCGCCGGCCUACACCAGAGCCACAGCAACGCGGGAUCCGAGCCUCGUCUGCGACCUGCACCACAGCUCAUGGCAGUGCCGGACCCUUAACCCACUGAGCCAGGCCACGGAUCGAACCCGCACCCUCAUGGUUCCCAGUCAGAUUCGCUAACCACGGAGCCACGACGGCAACUCCAUAGAUGAUAUUUAAAGCUAUGAGAUUGGAUGAAAUAAACUACUGAAAUGCUGCUUCAGUGGCCAGCUGGCUGGUGAAGGUCCGUGAACUCUGUUACCAGUUUGCCAUGCGUGUUCAGCGAGAAACUCAGAGUGGGCAAUAUGGCAUCGUUGUGACCUUCAAGCAUUUGAUCAUUUCCACUCAUUCAUUUUUAUUUUGUUUCGUGAUGUUUGUGAUGGACUGAACAUGUCGCUUGGUCUUUCCCCACAGCUGGUUUGAGAAGCACUGACCUGGUGAGGGAGUGAAUCUAGACAGAAAUGAGAUCUAAGGGCUGAGCCCCCGGGAACGUCCGGGUUUACUGGUCAGGGGAGGAGGGAGUCUGUCGGCAAAGAAGCUGACAGCGAACAGCGAGUCGAGCUGGCAAGAAAAAAUGUUGGCAGUUGGUAAGUCUAAGUGGAGGGUAUAUAGAUUCAUUUAGCUAUCCUUGUUCCUUCUCUGAUGUUUUGGGGAGGAAUUAGUGAGUAUAUACUGUUAUUUCAAAGUGAUUUGCUGCAAAGAGGAUCGUAGAAUAGAAAUCAGGUGAUAGUUAGAAAAGCUUAUGGAGUAUUUUUUCCCUCUCUUUUAAAACAUGAAAAGGAGAUAUAUCAUGUUUGUAGGUCAAUGAAGUUAUCCAGUAGUGACGGAAAAGUUGAUGCAGGAGAGGAGAGAAUCGUUGCUGGAAUAUUCUUGAGUAAGCAGAGUGGAGGCCAUUUAGGUCCAUGUGGAGGUAUUGGCCUUAGGCAGGAGUGGUAGCAUUGUGUCCACAGUGGUCUCAGGGACCUCAUCUUACUUGUAAAAGAUUAUGCGUGUAAAAUAUAUGGCAUAGUGCCUUCAAUUAAGCCCUCAACUCUCUGUUAUUCUGGUAGAGUUUCGUGUAGUGCCUAUUACUAGUAGACUUUGAAAAAAAACGGUAGUUGUUUAUUAUCGUUUUAUCAUUAGCAGGCCAUAAUUACCUGUUAGAAGCUAUAAAUUCUUCAUAACAAUGAGUUAGUAAAAUCCUCACCCGUUAAAUGAACAAUAGUGUGCUUUAGAAAAGCCACAGGACAUUGGUCUUCAGUCACUUUGGUUGCAUUAGGGAAGAGAGCAGCUGAAUUCCAAUAUGGGGAGUGAGAACGCCCAGGCCUGCAGUGGUAAGUGCUUUGCUGGGGCAAGUUGGUUAUGAAGUUCUUUUGGCCUGGCUCAUACCGUUUAUUUUAGAUGUAGCUUCCCGAAAUUGAAUCAUUUUCAUUUUUAGAAGGCUAUUUCAUUUUUAAACCCAUCUGGAUUUUUUUUUUAAUGUCUUAGAAAAUCCAGUCUAGAAUAUCUGAUCUAAAAGAGUUAAUAGCUUUGUUGAAAGUAUACCUAUCUGUGGAAAAAGAAUCGAAAGAAAAUGAAAUUCUAAAGCUCUUUGUUUACCCAAGCCAUGAGAGUAUUGUAUUUUGCUUUUCUCAGUCGAAACAGCUCUGAAUGGCUUCUGCUCAGCUCUGUGGAGGGUUCCUCUUGGCAAUUCCUUUCAAAUAAGGUUUUAAAAUUUAUUUAUAUGUGAAUUUCAGCACGGACACCUAGGCCCUACACUUUGAAGCUCAAUGUAAAUAGUGUUUGUCUCUAGUUAACAAGAAAGUAAAGCUUUUCUAAUACCCAUUAAUUACAGCUUAAGGUAAUUAUCCUCAUAUUUGUUGAAGUGUCUUUGCUUUAUUUCCUUGAGGUUGUGAGCAGUCAGUGGAGGUAAAGAACGGAUCGUAGGGGAGUUCCGUCGUGGCUCAGUGGUUAUCGAACCUGACUAGUAUCCAUGAGGACGCGGGUUCAAUCCCUGGCCUGGAUGCAGCAUUGCCAUGAGCUGUGGUGUAGGUCACAGACACGGCUCGGAUCUUGAGUUGCUGUGGCUGUGGCGUAGGCCGGCGGCUACAGCUCCAACUUGACCCCUAACCUGGGAACCUCCCUAUGCCACCAGUGCAGCCCUAAAAGACACACACACACACACACAAAAGAAGAAGAAUAGCCUGUAGAAGUGAAGAGGUUUCUAGAGUACCUCUUGUGCUGUAUGUGUGUGUUGCUGUUGGCGGCUUUUAUCAGACCCGAGGAUGGGUUAUCCUUGGUGGCUUUAUUAAUCCUUGAGGAUGGGUAUCUUUUUGCAGUGUUGACUUUCUCAUUUGGGGAGUGGACUUGGAUGGUAGAUAUUAAAUGAAAGUAAAUGCCAGGUGUCUGCAGGGAUAGGCGUUGGGCAGGGAGGGGUUCCUGGAGCUCAAGGAUAUGAUGUGUCAAACCUUGUCCCUGUGGGAGUUCCCAUCAUGGCGCAGCGGAAACGAAUCCGACUAGGAACCAUGAGGUUGCGGGUUCAAUCCCUGGCCUCGCUCAGUGGGUUAAGAAUCCAGUGUUGCCGUGAGCUGUGCUGUAGGUCACAGAUGCCGCUUGGAUCCUGCGUUGCUGUGGCUGUGGCGUAGGCCAGCAGCACAGUAGCUCCAGUUAGACCCCUAGCCUGGGAACCUCCACCCAUAUGCCGUGGACGCGGCCCUAGAAAGAAAAAAAGACAGACAAACUCUGUCCCUGUGAAACUGACAUGUGAAACAGCGUAUGUACUUUCCUGCUCUGAUGCCACCUGGUAGUAUCUGCCUGGAUGGAUGCUUCUGGAGAGUGUGCUAAAAAGAGAUAGCACCUGCUACACCUGUAAACCCUCUGUGUGGUGUCAGUGGUGCCUGAUAUAAGGCUUUAGUUUCUCUGUGGACUUUGAAAAUCUGGAAAUUUGGGUACCUGUAAAGACUGUGAAGCCCAGAGCGAUAGCCACGUGUUACAUUUAAUGGUCUUUUUAAACAGUUGGGCUUAUCUGGGAAAUGAUCUCACAUAGGUUCUUCGCUUCUCUAGUGGGAAGGCAGAGCUUGGCAGGGGUUGGCAUGGACGGAGCAAGAGUUACUCCGAGUUCCCCAGCAGAAACUUUUUGUUUGUUUGUUUGUUUGUUUAAAAAUGGACAUCGGAGUUCCCCCUGUGGCUCAGUGAACCUGACUAGCAUCCAUGAAGACGAGGGUUCAAUCCCUGCCCUUGCUCAGUGGGUAAGGAUCUGGCAUUACUGUGGUGUAGGUCGCAGACAAGGCUCAGAUCC